CUAGAGUUGGGCAUGACUGAUACAUGCAGUUCGAGCGAAUCUGAUGGGAAGCUUGCUCCCUGAAGAUUAGCGGCGGACGGGUGAGUAACACGUGGGUAACCUGCCUGUAAGACUGGGAUAACUCCGGGAAACCGGGGCUAAUACCGGAUAACUUUUUCUCUCGCAUGAGAGGGAAUUGAAAGGUGGCUUUGGCUAUCACUUACAGAUGGACCCGCGGCGCAUUAGCUAGUUGGUGAGGUAAUGGCUCACCAAGGCAACGAUGCGUAGCCGACUUGAGAGGGUGAUCGGCCACACUGGGACUGAGACACGGCCCAGACUCCUACGGGAGGCAGCAGUAGGGAAUCUUCCGCAAUGGACGAAAGUCUGACGGAGCAACGCCGCGUGAGUGAUGAAGGUUUUCGGAUCGUAAAACUCUGUUGUUAGGGAAGAACAAGUAUCGUUCGAAUAGGGCGGUACCUUGACGGUACCUAACCAGAAAGCCACGGCUAACUACGUGCCAGCAGCCGCGGUAAUACGUAGGUGGCAAGCGUUGUCCGGAAUUAUUGGGCGUAAAGCGCGCGCAGGCGGUUUCUUAAGUCUGAUGUGAAAGCCCACGGCUCAACCGUGGAGGGUCAUUGGAAACUGGGAGACUUGAGUGCAGAAGAGAAGAGCGGAAUUCCACGUGUAGCGGUGAAAUGCGUAGAGAUGUGGAGGAACACCAGUGGCGAAGGCGGCUCUUUGGUCUGUAACUGACGCUGAGGCGCGAAAGCGUGGGGAGCGAACAGGAUUAGAUACCCUGGUAGUCCACGCCGUAAACGAUGAGUGCUAAGUGUUAGAGGGUUUCCGCCCUUUAGUGCUGCAGCUAACGCAUUAAGCACUCCGCCUGGGGAGUACGGCCGCAAGGCUGAAACUCAAAGGAAUUGAC
RNAcentral lists this ribosomal RNA (904 nucleotides) under Heyndrickxia sporothermodurans. Its description in RNAcentral is "bacterial SSU rRNA". It matches the Rfam family "Bacterial small subunit ribosomal RNA", at positions 30 to 914 of the family's 1533-position model. Lineage: Bacteria; Bacillati; Bacillota; Bacilli; Caryophanales; Bacillaceae. The record is from RNAcentral.